Molecule: long non-coding RNA, 3443 nt
Organism: Synchiropus splendidus (mandarinfish)
Lineage: Eukaryota; Metazoa; Chordata; Actinopteri; Syngnathiformes; Callionymidae
Exons: 3
Source: RefSeq, a predicted model, not a curated record
GCCAGGACUCGGCGACACCAGACUGGCACAGUGGGACUAAACUCACACGUCUAUCGGUCAACAACACAUGUUCAUGAACAGACUCCUGCGGUAGCAGACGAGGGUCCGGCUCCACAGCCAGCGCAGCCGCAGGCCGAGUCGAGUCGAGUCGAGAUGGACUCAGGGUUGGACUGCGACACCGCGGUGGAAACACUCGCCAACUAUUCCAGACAUUGGCCUGGUUGAGGCCUUCAGACGUGUGAGUGGACACAGAAGCUGAGGCCCAGAGCCGUCAUGACUCUUCGCUCUGCGGCGGAGUCAAAACACGGCGAUGAUACAGUUGCAGGAAAUAGACGGAGCCCAGGCGGCCAACAGCGGCGGACACACAGCACAGACAUCAAGCAGUUCAUGCGCGACCACAUUCUUGUCAGGGGUCAACGUUAACUUCACUUUUAUUGACGUAGCAGUAAGAAGAAAAACCACGUAUCCACUUCACACACAGCAGCUCUGGUGAAGAAAGGAUGCACAAAUCCUGAUGGAUAUCGAAGUUCAGAUCCAGGACGAGUCUUUGGAAGCGCUCCAGGAAUGAGCACAAGUGGUUCUCCAUAACAACCUGUGACUCGCUGAAAACAAAUAGACGGCGUACCCCAUCAGCCGCCUCUGAUCACCCACAAAAAGGGAGGGAAGGUUCCACACUUUUCAGAGUCAACAGCGCCAGCUUCACUCUCCUGACAGAAGCUCAGAAGAAUCUGGCCGUGGGCCGGCGGUGUCGGCGAUACGUCCUUCACUGGAAUCCUUUUUCAUUUUCUUCCCUUUUUUGGAUUUUUUCUUCUUCUCCUGCAUCAUUUCAGGGUCACUGUGGAAUGAGCAUAGAUCCGUGAAACACUAGGACAAUAACUCUAAACAUCAGUGGACUACAGAGGUGGAAAGUUUAGAUAGGACAAAAGUGUUGUCCGGUCACCUAUGCUCAGGAGCUGCAGGAGAAACGCCCUCAGCUGACCCGUCGUCGUCCAGCUGCCUUUUCGCUGCCUUCUCAGGCGCAGGAUCAACCGGCCUUUCGUCUGCAGAACAUAGGAGAUACCAAGAUCAAAACCAAGCUGUUGUUGUGUGACCUGUUGAAUGUUACGUGCUCUGAAGCUGAUGGUUGUCCACCAUCUAAGACACCUGGAGCUGGGCUACUGCUCAGCCCCCAGUAGCUCCAAGCACAGGAUGAUGAAGCCCACCACCAGUCCAGGAGUGAGUCAAGUCUCAUGGACCAUCCGUCCAGGUGUGAGUCAACUCUCAUGGACCAUCCGUCCAGGUGUGAGUCAAGUCUCAUGGACCAUCCGUCCAGGUGUGAGUCAAGUCUCAUGGACCAUCUGUCCAGGUGCGAGUCAAGUCUCAUGGACCAUCAGUCCAGGUGUGAGUCAAGUCUCAUGGACCAUCUGUCCAGGUGCGAGUCAAGUCUCAUGGACCAUCAGUCCAGGUGUGAGUCAAGUCUCGUGGCAGAAACCGAGCACAAAAUGCAUUGGGUCUUGCGGUGGCGACGCACCUGCUUCUGUGCCUGGCUGCUGUCCGUUCUCCAACUCUUCGUCCACGGUCAGAUCCAAGCCGGCCCACUUCUUGUAGACAGGGACCAGCACCGCGCGCGGACACUCGACCAGCGCCGCGGCUUCGGAGAUGCCCAGACCCAGUCGAAUGGCCAUCACAAUCUGGCCCUUGUCAAAGUCGCUCAAUUUCGAGAACUUCUCCGUUUUCCUCGCUGCCAUCGCUGGGAGUUGAGUCGCAGGCCACUCGGCCAACGCGUCGUUCCGGGGCUCGAAAAACAACAGCGCUACCACGACGCGCAGCCGCGUUUCAACCGUGGCAGGCUGUGACGUAAUCACUCAGAAGUAUCGCGAUAAACGAAUUCUCGCAACCUUUGCGCAUGCUCGAAGGACACAGCCUUUGCAAUGACUCAAUACAGUAGGAGUAUAAUAAUAGUCGUUCCGUGAUUCCAGGCGCAGUUUUGCGAAACCAUUCAAUAAGUUAUUCACUAAUUCUUUACUAAAUAAAACUGUUUUAUUGACUCACCGACCAAUGAAAUGACUGAGCGACCCAGCACGCGGCGAAUCACGGCUCCAGUUGACACGCUGCAGCCGAGUGAACACAGUCUCUAAAGCUGACAAAGGCUACAAUCAGACCUCAGAUCUAACAGAAAACAUGGAGAGACCAAUGAAAAAGCAUCCUUCAAAAGAUUCCUGGAUCCAGAUGGUGAUCCAGAUCAUCUGGGCUCGAAACACUGAGGCUCUUUACAAACAGGGUCAGAGUCGUCUCUACUUCUUGAGGAGGCUCGGGUCCUUCAACGUCUGCGGGACCACGCUGAGGAUGUUUCAUGAGUCGGUGGUGUCCAGUGCAAUUCUGUUCACUGAGGUUUGCGGCCGCAGCAGAUUAACGGUGGCAACAGACUCAUCCGCAAAGCUGGUGAUGUGGUGGGGGUGAAACUGGACUCCUUGGUGACGGAUGCUCCUGAAACUAAGGAGCAUCCUGGACAACAUCACCCACCCCCUCCAUCUGCUCCUGGUCCAAUACAGAAGCACAUGGACAAAUAGACAGAGACUGCCUGACUCAAAGACCGAGCGCCACAGGAGCUCCUUUCUUCCUAUGGCAAUUAAAACAUACAAUUCAUCCCUGAAAAAAAUACAAAGAGUUUUUUUUUGGCACAUUUUCUGUUCUUGAACUGCAUUUGUUGCACAAUGUUUUUCUAAGAUCCUUUGUAUCACUUUUUUUCCACUUUAUAAUAUUAUUUCUUUUUAAUUUAUUGUGAUAUGUUGUGUACAGAGCAUGUUACAAACACAAUUUCCCUUGGGAUUAAUAACGUUUUUCUGAUUCUGAUUUCUUCCCUGUACAGUUGAACAUAUUUCCUGAAAAUGUUAUCAAAAUCAAAUUUGGAUCUGAAGCAUAACCUUCCUGUCGGCGGCAUUUAAAACCCUCAGAAAACAAUAAUCUGGAACCAAGAAGUGGAAGCUUCUAUGGUAUGGUAUGGUCGAUAAUGAUUUAAUCAUUUAACCUUAUAACCAGUUUCAUUUCUUCUCCCGAGAAUUUCAGACGCCAAUAGGCCUUCUUAUGACAGUCACUAGAUGGCGCUCACUGCUCUAAAUUCCUUGGCUUUGACCUUUUCAGCGCCCAUUUUAAAGCAGGCAGCGCCACCUACUGAGCUCUGUAAAUGAGGACGAUGUCAAUAGCGCAUGGUAUUUCUGUGUUCCAUCACCAUAAAUCAGUUGUAUGGCCAAAUAGAGGAGACCUUUCUUUUCUGUCAGUAUGUCUGCGUCCGUAAAGAAAAAUGACCUUGCAACCGACAUGCUUCUGACGACCACAGGGCUUCAAAGAUGCUGGAUUUAUUUUAUGGGGAAAUAUUUGUAGUAUUUUAAAAUACUUCACCAUGAAAUUGCGAUGCUUUCAUUGGUUCUAGGAUCUGAUCAUUUCUGUUUAUUCACAUGGUAUUU